RNAcentral lists this long non-coding RNA (450 nucleotides) under Cucumis sativus (cucumber). Its description in RNAcentral is "long non-coding RNA (CSAT_LNC001976)". The record is from RNAcentral. Lineage: Eukaryota; Viridiplantae; Streptophyta; Magnoliopsida; Cucurbitales; Cucurbitaceae.
CCUAAAGCCCACAAAUUUUCUCUAUAAAUAGAGACAUUUGUCAUUCAUUUGAGAGGGGGUCUCUCGUUGAAGGAAUAAUUGAAGCUCUGAAGUACUGAAGCUCUGAAGAAUUGAAGAUUCAAACUUCUAUAAAGCUCUCAAGACGUGCAAGUUUUUAUCAACUUCGAGAUCAUCAUCUUCUGAAAGAUUGAAGACUUGGAAGAUCAAACUUUCCUUGAAUUCCAGAAGAUUGAAGCUCAAAUAGACUUGCAACUACAACAUCCUAAAGACCGAAGAUCAAGAAAUUCUAAGUUUUUAACUUGUAUUCGAGAGAAAGCAUCAAAGGAGGAAAUACUAGAGAUUGUAUUCACAAUAUUCAUCAAUAUACAAAUUUCAAUUCCAUGAAAUACAUUUCUUCGAAAUCUCGUGUGAACAAAAUUAAUAAUAGGAAAUUUGCACAAGGCAUCAAAA